GAUGAACGCUGGCGGCGUGCCUAAUACAUGCAAGUCGAGCGAACAGACGAGGAGCUUGCUCCUCUGACGUUAGCGGCGGACGGGUGAGUAACACGUGGAUAACCUACCUAUAAGACUGGGAUAACUUCGGGAAACCGGAGCUAAUACCGGAUAAUAUAUUGAACCGCAUGGUUCAAUAGUGAAAGACGGUUUUGCUGUCACUUAUCGAUGGAUCCGCGCCGCAUUAGCUAGUUGGUAAGGUAACGGCGUACCAAGGCGACGAUGCGUAGCCGACCUGAGAGGGUGAUCGGCCACACUGGAACUGAGACACGGUCCAGACUCCUACGGGAGGCAGCAGGAGGGAAUCUUCCGCAAUGGGCGAAAGCCUGACGGAGCAACGCCGCGUGAGUGAGGAAGGUCUUCGGAUCGUAAAACUCUGUUAUUAGGGAAGAACAAAUGUGUAAGUAACUAUGCACGUCUUGACGGUACCUAAUCAGAAAGCCACGGCUAACUACGUU
Molecule: ribosomal RNA, 497 nt
Filed under: uncultured bacterium
Lineage: Bacteria
Description: partial 16S ribosomal RNA
Rfam family: Bacterial small subunit ribosomal RNA
Source: RNAcentral